This 333-nucleotide long non-coding RNA is filed under the name Salvia miltiorrhiza (redroot sage). Its description in RNAcentral is "long non-coding RNA (SMIL_LNC005503)". Lineage: Eukaryota; Viridiplantae; Streptophyta; Magnoliopsida; Lamiales; Lamiaceae. The record is from RNAcentral.
CUCAUUUUUUUUGCUCAAAACCUUCAUCAUUUUCAUCAAAAUCUUGUGAUAUUACACAGAUUAAUUCAAUAGAAAUGAGGCCAAUUUAUAGCAAUACCUUGUCGGUUGUUUCGAUUCUUUUCUUGUUACUUCCCGGUGGUCAAGCUCUCAGGCCUUAUCAUUGUAACAACUUAUAUAUUCAUAUCUUCAUUGUUAAAUUUAUUACACAUUGUGUGAAAUGAACUCAUAUAUCGUCGAUGUUGGUUUAAUUUACAGUUACCCACCACAGUAGAGGCACCAACUACAAGGAUGUAGAAAACCAACAUGUUAAGGUACGUAUAUUUUCUCCACACC